GACGAACGCUGGCGGCGUGCUUAACACAUGCAAGUCGAACGGAAAGGCCCUGCUUUUGUGGGGUGCUCGAGUGGCGAACGGGUGAGUAACACGUGAGUAACCUGCCCUUGACUUUGGGAUAACUUCAGGAGACUGGGGCUAAUACCGGAUAGGAGCUCCUGCUGCAUGGUGGGGGUUGGAAAGUUUCGGCGGUUGGGGAUGGACUCGCGGCUUAUCAGCUUGUUGGUGGGGUAGUGGCUUACCAAGGCUUUGACGGGUAGCCGGCCUGAGAGGGUGACCGGCCACAUUGGGACUGAGAUACGGCCCAGACUCCUACGGGAGGCAGCAGUGGGGAAUAUUGCACAAUGGGCGGAAGCCUGAUGCAGCAACGCCGCGUGCAGGAUGACGGCCUUCGGGUUGUAAACCGCUUUCGCCUGUGACGAAGCGUGAGUGACGGUAAUGGGUAAAGAAGCACCGGCUAACUACGUG
This 468-nucleotide ribosomal RNA is filed under the name uncultured bacterium. RNAcentral describes it as "partial 16S ribosomal RNA". It matches the Rfam family "Bacterial small subunit ribosomal RNA", at positions 28 to 507 of the family's 1533-position model. The record is from RNAcentral.